AGGGAAAAGAGAGCAAUAAAGGAAAGUUCGAUUAUGAUCAAAUGAAAAGCUUUGUGAGAAGAGGGAAAUCUUAUCGGAAAUUGAUUUCUAGUGAUGCCUUGAAGAUCGGUCUAGUGACUCUGAAGCAGUGGGUAGUGGCCUUCCUCCUUCUCCGCCGACGGUUGCCAUUUCGAUCUCUCUCCCUCCCACGCUUUAUGUCACGGGGUAAGAGUUUACUACACUAAACUUCACUCAGCUUACUUGGAGAUUAAGUCAGCCUAUCCUUGGCUAAGUUAGUCCAACAAAGACUAACAUGGGGUGACAAAAUGAAGAAAAGGGAAGCAAAGUGAAGUGAUGGUGUGUAGGUGUGCAAACACUAAGGAACUU
RNAcentral lists this unclassified non-coding RNA (366 nucleotides) under Hevea brasiliensis (rubber tree). Lineage: Eukaryota; Viridiplantae; Streptophyta; Magnoliopsida; Malpighiales; Euphorbiaceae. The record is from RNAcentral.